GUAAAGAUGCUCAAGUCUGAAAAUGCUGACUAUGGAGGCGAAACCCAUACAACAGAAACUUAAUCAUUUGAAAAUAAACAGUUGGGCCAGCCACAGCCGUGCUCACCCGUAAUUCCUAGGACAAAGUUUUGAAUCAACGGUACUUGGAGGCCCUCGCCAUGCUCGAUAUCAAACAGCAGAAGGUGGCUCAGGAGAACACGGCGGAGGAGAGUGGCUUUACAGAGGUAUCAGGUCUCGAGCUUGCAGUCCUUGGAGCCUGCCUGUGUCAGGGUCCUGGAGGGAGCCCCUGUUCUUGUGCCAAAAUGGCAGCAUCCACUCGGAAACUGGUCCUUCAGCUCAGACAUGAGUUGGAAACUCUGCAGAAGAGUAAGGAAGAGGCACACAUAACAGCAGAUGCAUUCAGAAUCGC
RNAcentral lists this long non-coding RNA (409 nucleotides) under Rattus norvegicus (Norway rat). Its description in RNAcentral is "long non-coding RNA NONRATT014966". The record is from RNAcentral. Lineage: Eukaryota; Metazoa; Chordata; Mammalia; Rodentia; Muridae.